RNAcentral lists this transfer RNA (69 nucleotides) under Bos taurus (domestic cattle). It matches the Rfam family "tRNA". Rfam says of the family: Transfer RNA (tRNA) molecules are approximately 80 nucleotides in length. Their secondary structure includes four short double-helical elements and three loops (D, anti-codon, and T loops). Further hydrogen bonds mediate the characteristic L-shaped molecular structure. tRNAs have two regions of fundamental functional importance: the anti-codon, which is responsible for specific mRNA codon recognition, and the 3' end, to which the tRNAs corresponding amino acid is attached (by aminoacyl-tRNA synthetases). tRNAs cope with the degeneracy of the genetic code in two manners: having more than one tRNA (with a specific anti-codon) for a particular amino acid; and 'wobble' base-pairing, i.e. permitting non-standard base-pairing at the 3rd anti-codon position. Lineage: Eukaryota; Metazoa; Chordata; Mammalia; Artiodactyla; Bovidae. The record is from Rfam by way of RNAcentral. RNAcentral also lists the same sequence under 5 other names.
CCUGAUAGCUCAGUUGGUAAAGAGUCUGCCUGCAAUGCAGGAGACCCUGGUUCAAUUCCUGGGUCAGGA